This 497-nucleotide ribosomal RNA is filed under the name uncultured bacterium. RNAcentral's name for it is "partial 16S ribosomal RNA". It matches the Rfam family "Bacterial small subunit ribosomal RNA", at positions 28 to 507 of the family's 1533-position model. The record is from RNAcentral.
GACGAACGCUGGCGGCGUGCCUAAUACAUGCAAGUUGAGCGCUGAAGGUUGGUACUUGUACCAACUGGAUGAGCAGCGAACGGGUGAGUAACGCGUGGGGAAUCUGCCUUUGAGCGGGGGACAACAUUUGGAAACGAAUGCUAAUACCGCAUAAAAACUUUAAACACAAGUUUUAAGUUUGAAAGAUGCAAUUGCAUCACUCAAAGAUGAUCCCGCGUUGUAUUAGCUAGUUGGUGAGGUAAAGGCUCACCAAGGUGAUGAUACAUAGCCGACCUGAGAGGGUGAUCGGCCACAUUGGGACUGAGACACGGCCCAAACUCCUACGGGAGGCAGCAGUAGGGAAUCUUCGGCAAUAGACGAAAGUCUGACCGAGCAACGCCGCGUGAGUGAAGAAGGGUUUCGGAUCGUAAAACUCUGUUGGUAGAGAAGAACGUUGGUGAGAGUGGAAAGCUCAUCAAGUGACGGUAACUACCCAGAAAGGGACGGCUAACUACGUG